This 96-nucleotide small nucleolar RNA is filed under the name Suricata suricatta (meerkat). RNAcentral's name for it is "Small nucleolar RNA SNORD115 (ENSSSUG00005014096.1)". It matches the Rfam family "Small nucleolar RNA SNORD115". From Rfam's summary of the family: HBII-52 is a member of the C/D class of snoRNAs, which contain the C (UGAUGA) and D (CUGA) box motifs. HBII-52 is encoded in a tandemly repeated array with another C/D snoRNA, HBII-85, in the Prader-Willi syndrome (PWS) region of chromosome 15. HBII-52 is exclusively expressed in the brain but is absent in PWS patients. The record is from Rfam by way of RNAcentral. Lineage: Eukaryota; Metazoa; Chordata; Mammalia; Carnivora; Herpestidae.
GGGUCAAUGAUGACAACUCGUAUGGUCUCGAAGAGAGAUGAUGACCUAAAAAUCAUGCUCAUUUAAGGGCACCAUCUUGGGGGAGGGUGGAGUCCU